Long non-coding RNA from Catharus ustulatus (Swainson's thrush), 1079 nucleotides. RefSeq lists it as uncharacterized. NCBI's taxonomy places the organism in Eukaryota, Metazoa, Chordata, Aves, Passeriformes, Turdidae. The transcript is spliced from 3 exons. The record is from RefSeq and is a predicted model, not a curated record.
GCGGGCUGCCCUCACAUCGCCCUGGGAGUGCCUCACGGGGCCGCGCUGCCCGGGCAGCCCCGCAAUCAGCAACCACCCAUCAGGGUAAUGUAGGGUAUCGGGAACUGCUGGUAGGAAUAACCAUGCACAUAAGGCAGAGAGAUGCCUGUGUGUAGGAUCAAGGCUUUAGGCGACAACAGUGUCGUUUUAGGGACUGGAGCACACACGGCUGAUGAGGAGGGACUGAGGAGCUGAGUGUAUCCACACAGCCAGGCUGGGGUCAUGGAUAAACCACUACAGCUGUUCUCAGCAGUUGCUGAUAGUUCAUUGGCCCCAUUUUGGAACAGUCACUGCUUGCAGAGUAAGGCUGCAGUGGGAAAUGCACAUCCUCCUCAGCAGGGCUGAAAACGUGUGCACAAACACAGAAAUGUCAAUCUACAUGGACUCUGCAAAACUCCCAAAAGCAGUACGACACGGGCCUGGCCUGCAUGUGAAAUUACAAACACCAGUAAUGGGAUAUUUUACUGUCAAUAUGCUUCUGUUUAUGACAUUUGCAAGGUCUGUGUUGUACUUUUGUGUCCUGUAACCUUAUUCUUAGUAUGUCCUGUAAGUUUGGCAAGAGGGGUAAUAAUUCAGCACCAAACUUUGAUAAGGUUUAUCAGGAGAUGCAGUAGAACAGAUUGAUUGUGAAAUACCUUGUCUGAAGAUGGGCAGCUGACAGCACUAACCCUAAUUAUUUAUGUAUAUCAGACAAUAUAUUGAUGAGGAGUUCCUAUAAAGAUUUUUUCAAAGUAUUUCAAGUUGUUCACCAUGUUCUUGAGAAUGCCUGAACUGGAUUUAAAAUUAUUAAUUUUCUAAUCUGUAAUAAAGUAUUAAUGCAUUAACAAUUCAUUUACAAUCUAACUAAUGACCAAAGUACACAAUAGUCAUUCAGAUGUGCAAGGAGUCAAAAAGUCCAGCAGCAUAGCUCCAGUAUUCUAACAAAUUCUAGCAAGCCAGAGAACUCACAAGUUUGGAGUUUUUUCUAAAGUGUUCACAAGCACUAACAUUUACUUCUCAGUGUUUGUUUUAUCAAUAAAUCACUCUCAUGUCUGCUUUUA